RNAcentral lists this ribosomal RNA (1260 nucleotides) under metagenome. RNAcentral describes it as "bacterial LSU rRNA". It matches the Rfam family "Bacterial large subunit ribosomal RNA", at positions 1544 to 2822 of the family's 2925-position model. The record is from RNAcentral.
CGUUGUAUAAUCCGAAGACGUGAUGUGGAGCGAAAUAAAGUAGCAAAGCGUGUGAGCCAUGUGCCGAGAAAAGCUGCUAUUGUGUAAUGCGUGCCCGUACCGUAAACCGACACAGGUGGAUGAGGAGAGAAUCCUAAGGCCGACGGAAGAAGCAUUGUUAAGGAAUUCGGCAAAAUGACCCCGUAACUUCGGGAGAAGGGGUGCCUGCGAGAGCAGGCCGCAGAGAAUAGGCUCAAGCAACUGUUUAGCAAAAACACAGGUCUAUGCGAAACCGAAAGGUGAAGUAUAUGGGCUGACGCCUGCCCGGUGCUGGAAGGUUAAGAGGAGAGGUUAGCGUAAGCGAAGCUUUGAAUUUAAGCCCCAGUAAACGGCGGCCGUAACGAUAACGGUCCUAAGGUAGCGAAAUUCCUUGUCGGGUAAGUUCCGACCCGCACGAAAGGCGUAAUGAUUUGAGCACUGUCUCGACAAUGCAUCCGGUGAAAUUGAAGUACCAGUGAAGAUGCUGGUUACCCGCGCCAGGACGGAAAGACCCCAUGGAGCUUUACUCCAGUUUGAUACUGGGAUUCGGUACUGCAUGUACAGGAUAGGUGGGAGACGAAGAAGGAUGGACGCCAGUCUGUCCGGAGUCGCUGUUGGGAUACCACCCCUGUAGUACUGGGUUUCUAACCAGUUGCCAUGAACUGGCAAUGGGACAAUGUCAGGCGGGGAGUUUGACUGGGGCGGUCGCCUCCGAAAGGGUAUCGGAGGCGCUCAAAGGUUCCCUCAGAAUGGUUGGAAACCAUUUGAAGAGUGCAAAGGCAGAAGGGAGCUUGACUGCGACACCGACGGGUGGAGCAGGUACGAAAGUAGGACUUAGUGAUCCGGUGGUAUAAAGUGGGAUUGCCAUCGCUCAACGGAUAAAAGCUACCCUGGAUAACAGGCUUAUCACUCCCAAGAGUUCACAUCGACGGAGUGGUUUGGCACCUCGAUGUCGGCUCAUCGCAUCCUGGGGCUGUAGCAGGUCCCAAGGGUUGGGCUGUUCGCCCAUUAAAGCGGUACGCGAGCUGGGUUCAGAACGUCGUGAGACAGUUCGGUCCCUAUCCGGCGCGGGCGGAGGAUAUUUGAGAGGAGCUGUCCUUAGUACGAGAGGACCGGGAUGGACGGACCACUGGUGUAUCUGUUGUCGACCAACGGCAUGGCAGAGUAGCCAAGUCUGGAAGGGAUGAACGCUGAAGGCAUCUAAGCGUGAAGCCCCCCUCAAGAUGAGAUAUCCCUCCUAAA